RNAcentral lists this ribosomal RNA (554 nucleotides) under Ochromonas sp. CCMP1393. Its description in RNAcentral is "partial Bacterial large subunit ribosomal RNA". It matches the Rfam family "Bacterial large subunit ribosomal RNA", at positions 1386 to 1957 of the family's 2925-position model. The record is from RNAcentral. Lineage: Eukaryota; Chrysophyceae; Chromulinales; Chromulinaceae.
GGACCUAAGGCGAGGCCGAAAGGCGUAGUCGAUGGCAAACAGGUUAAUAUUCCUGUACUUCCUUAGCUGCGAUGGGAGGACGGAGAAGGUUAGACCAGCCACCUGUUGGAUGGUGGUUUAAGCGCAAAGGAGUGCACUCUAGGCAAAUCCGGAGUGAUUAUCUGAAGCGUGAUGACGAGUCUCUUUUGAGACGAAGUGGUUGAUACCAUGCUUCCAAGAAAAGUCCCUAAGCUUCAGGCAAAAGGAAUCCGUACCCCAAACCGACACAGGUGGGCGAGGAGAGUAUCCUAAGGCGUUUGAGAGAACUCGGGAGAAGGAACUCGGCAAAUUUGAACCGUAACUUCGGGAUAAGGUUCGCCUACGCAAGUAGGCCGCAGUGAAGAGGGGGUUGCGACUGUUUAUCAAAAACACAGCACUCUGCAAACACGAAAGUGGACGUAUAGGGUGUGACUCCUGCCCGGUGCUGGAAGGUUAAUUGAUGGGGUCAGCCGCAAGGCGAAGCUCUUGAUCGAAGCCCCAGUAAACGGCGGCCGUAACUAUAACGGUCCUAAGGU